UUUUUUUUUCAUGUUCUUUUCUUAACAACAUCAACGUGUAAUUAUGACACGAUAUGCAGACAUCAAUUCUCGGUUCCACGAUAUAGAAGGUGGACAGGGGAUAAAGAAGGGAUAACGGAGAUCUUAGAAAUCAGGACUUGGACGCGGCUGUGAGCGAGCCAUCACCCAGAGAUGGGCAUCAGUUGAAGAAGCGGUGCAAUCCUUUGCUGCACACAAUUCAUUUUAGUUCGACAACGGCGAUUGGAUGUUGGGAUGAGUCGGGACGCAAGUGCACGUCAAUCGGAAGCUGUACGUCUUGGGACUAGCUGACGGUGGCUCAUCUUCCACAACCUCCGGAUCCCAAAUAUCAAUCAUUCCGACGACAUCCGGGACGGGCGAUGUGACUCGAAUGGUUGGCGUUGGCGGUGGCGUUCCGGUGCUCGUCGAUCGGCUGCCGUACGUAACUCGCUGAUGACCCCCGGAUGAUGAAGAUGACAUCGAUUGGCUCUUACCAUGACGGAAGGAAUAGGAGUGUGACAUGCUUGGGAAUGUGUCAAAGCUUUAUCUAAACGAAAGAAAAACAUCAUCAACAGGCUGCAGAUUUUAACAAAAAAGCAAUUCGAACGUUUACCUAUUCCCUGUCGGUAGCGAGCAGCGUGACAUGGGAACGAAGUGUUAAACCACCCGGUCACCCUUUCUAGGUUCGUAACACUGUGAAUUGAAGAUGGCAAAGUUUCGGAAGACGAGCGGAUAAAGUGGGAGGUAGUGGCUGCUGCUCUUGCAGUUAUCUGGGCGGGCGCAACAGCGUUAACGUCGUGCGCAGCCGUUAACCAUCCUUUUUUGUCAUCAUGAGUUGCUCAUAGGGAGACCUGUUGCUAGACGUACACACAGAUUCAUUGGACGUUAAAUCUUAUCUCCUUUCCAAUAAAGGAAUAACAUGCGUGUCUGCAGUUGGCCCAGCACUCAGCUAAACAAAACAUUGCGCUGUGGAAAAUGUCGAUCCGACUAAUGGAACAACAUGGGAGUUCGGUCACGUAAAUUGGUCAACAACAAGAACCCUUUGACCAGCAUUGGUCAAACAACUUGGUCGGCCUGGUCCGUGCUAUUUCUCUUAAUCUUAACUGGGAAAAAAGACUGCAUUCAUCUUAAAGAAAACGGUGCGGCCCAACCCGUUCCCAUUCGUCUAACACACGCCGCGUUUUAAUCCGCUUGCUGCAAUCACUGGAAGACCACCAAUUUUACAGUUGUAUAAAGAUAUUGCCCGUAUCAACGAAAACAGGGCGAUAAGCUAUAAACGAAGUGGGAAUGCACUUUCAUUUGCCAACGUUUAUAAACAUCCGAAAAGCAGAACUUAUCAUUUCAAUGGCUAACUUAUCUUGAUUGCGUUCGUUGUUCCGGUCGACUGCGCUUCGGGUUACCAUUGGCUCCCCCCUUUGUGUAGCAUAUCCAUCACCUUCUGUCCCAAGUUCUUUUCUCGUCCGCGUGUGGCCAGCAACAGUCGUGGAGAAGUGAUCAACAACACAAAGCCAAGAAGGUCAUUCGACCGUGAUAUUCUAUAGCGUGCAGUAAGUCGCCAUGAUAGAAAAAUCGAUAAUUAGCUUUUUUUUCAGAGUAAAUUUGACGCUGUGCAGAGUCCUCAACAACGAAUCAAGAGAAGAGGAGUGAAACCGGUAAAGAAAAGAGGGGACGAUCCUCGCCGUUGCACGGUUACGCCCAAAAAAUCAAUACACCUAGCGCGCCCGUUGUGCAUUCUUGCCCAGGUGUGUUCCAUAUAGGCUACCCCUUUAUGCAAGCCCGCUGUUUUAUUCCCUAUCGUCUCGAUGUCAAAAAACUGGGAAAGAGACAAAAAUAGAAGCGAGAUCAAGAAUAUAAAGGCAAAAUGAGAUGGCGGCCAGCCCGGCUUUUGACGUUCUUACUAACACAAAAGAAAUCUAAUCCUCGCCAGUGGGGGGGUUCGUUGGAGUAUAACGAAGACCCUUCCCCUUCGGUCGCACUCUCUGAAAUGAAGCGAACCUAGUGAGGUGAUAACAAAGGAUAAGGUCAAUGAUUGGCUUUGAUAAACGAAGUUUAGUCUGAACAGUUUAUUAUGUAGAAGCUCAGAGACUGCAAACUGUCACCUGCUCGGAUCGGCUCCAUAGCCAAUUUUCAACGCACAUCGAUUUGCAUGAUAAUGGUUGUUGAU
Daphnia carinata is the source of this 2161-nucleotide long non-coding RNA. RefSeq lists it as uncharacterized. The record is from RefSeq and is a predicted model, not a curated record. NCBI's taxonomy places the organism in Eukaryota, Metazoa, Arthropoda, Branchiopoda, Diplostraca, Daphniidae. The transcript has 6 exons.